This is a long non-coding RNA of Rhinolophus ferrumequinum (greater horseshoe bat), 1073 nucleotides long. RefSeq lists it as uncharacterized. The transcript is spliced from 4 exons. The record is from RefSeq and is a predicted model, not a curated record. NCBI's taxonomy places the organism in Eukaryota, Metazoa, Chordata, Mammalia, Chiroptera, Rhinolophidae.
CCCCCUGUGAUCAGCCAUUCCCCGUGCAGGUAUACACACAAAAGCAUUGAAAGCAGGGACUCAAACAGCAGCGUUCACAGCAGCAUUAUUCACAGUAGCCACAAGGUGGCGACAACCCAGGUGUCUGUGGACAGAUGAACGGAUAAACAAUACGGGGGACACGCCUGCAAAGGAGUAUCUUUCAGCCUUUAAAAGGAAGGAAAUUCUGACGGACGCUCACGCUCCAACGUGGUCGGACCCUGAGGAUGUGAUGCUGAGUGACAUAAGGCAGAUACAACAGGACACGCAGUCUGUGAUUCCUCUUUCAUGAGUCCUUUGUGCAUGUGCCGUGACUUUAUUAUAUCACAGGACCAGUCUGAACAAGUCUAUAGUAGUGAUGAGGCAGGAAAGUACAGAUAGUACACGUAUAUUGCAGAGCUCCUGUAUUAACAAGCACAACAUAGAAGGAAAGAACUGCGUAACUGCUUUACCUUUUCAGUUACAGAUGUUUGGCCCAGCAAAUAUGGAUUGUUGUUUGAACAACAGCUCUUCACAUGAGGUGCCUCCAUGUCCACCCAGGUAUUCAGUCCACUCAGUUUAGAAUAUUAUUAUUUUGGUUUAUUUGAGUUUGUUCUGAAGUAAAAUUAUUUGCCUACGAGUUUUGGGAUGAUGACGAUUUCCAUGGUAACAGCACAGAUCUGUGCCAGUUUCUCUCAUCUCAGUGUUGUACAUGUGUGAGUUCUACUCCUCACUUGGUAUGAAUCAUCUAGAGAUUUUUUUCCCCUCACAUAGGAAAAUCCAACAAGCUUAUACUUAAAGAUAACAAGGCUGAAUUCUUAGCUCUGCUAUUUUUUCAUUGUUCUUCUUUGGGCAAAUCAUUAGAGCUUUUUUAGCUUUAAUUUUGUUUUUUUAUUUGUUACAGAAAUACUAUCAUUUCCCUCUUAGGAUUUAUGCAGGGUUCAGUGAGCUGAUGUUUACCAUCUUUGACACAGGGCUUAGUACAUCUUAGGUGUGCAGGAAACAGCAGGUGCUCCUUGGUGGUGUGUUUCCCUGUCUCCCAGUCAGUUGUGAGCUCCCUGCAGGGGAGGGACACA